RNAcentral lists this long non-coding RNA (5716 nucleotides) under Citrus sinensis (sweet orange). Its description in RNAcentral is "long non-coding RNA (CSIN_LNC005338)". Lineage: Eukaryota; Viridiplantae; Streptophyta; Magnoliopsida; Sapindales; Rutaceae. The record is from RNAcentral.
AGAUUUUUCUCCGGGCAGUCGCGUACCCAAUGAGGGCCAUUGCAAAUGAAGCAUGGGCUUCGAGGCUUGGGUGGCUUCUCGGACUUACUUUGCCCGUCCUUGCCGCUUGGAGGCUUUUUCUUGCUCCAUUCCUUGCAAUUGCGGUUGUUGUCCUCAUGGUUCUCUCCCCCACCUUGGUCAUAGCUAGACCUCUUGUCCUUGAGCUGGGCGGAGUAUUCGGUGAGCGACUCCGCAAUGGCGAUGGCGUCGUCAAGUGUUUGAACACCACGCCUAUCAAGCUCGGUCUUGGCCCAAUCCUUGAGGCCAUCUUGAAAGUAGAAGAGUGAAUCUUUGUCGGACAUGUCGCUUAUCUCCAACAUAAGGGUAGUAAACUCGUUGAUGUAGUCCCGAAUGCUACCCGAUUGCUUGAGGCGACGUAAGCGCGCUCGCGCUUCCUUCUCCGCAUUGCUUGGGGCGAACUGCUUUCGGAGUUCUUGCUUGAAGUCAGCCCAAGUGUCGAUGGCGCAAAUGCCCUUGCCAUCUCGCCAUGCUUGCGACGCCACCAUAGUUGUGCAACGCCUCUUAGAUCGGUGGGUGCAGUGCCCACUUUCGAUGCCUCGUAGGCGUGUGCCAUCGUAGGUGUCGGGCUUUGGCACAUCAAUGCGGCGCGCAUCACUCGAGUUUGCGGAAGCUGGACUUGCGGAGAGUGUGCACUUGUGCCAUGCCCAAUCCGAGCGAACUUCAUCCACUUCUGCACGGACAGCGCGUAGUUCGUCCUGAACAAAACUACGAAGUUUCAACAACUCAUCAUGGAAAGAUCGAAACUCACCUCGGAGAGUGUUCGCUUGCUCAUGGAUGAGAGCUUUUGUGGCCACUGUGAACUCGCCGUAUUCUCCCUCAAGAUUGUCCACUCUUCCCUCCAAUCCCUCGAGGCUAUCUUAAGCGGCGGACAAUGCUAUUUCGAGAAUGCCUACACGAGGCUCCAACACAUCCACGGAUGGGGCCUUGGACUUGCCGCGAGUCUUGCCUUGGGCACGUUCUCCCUCUCGGCCGCGGCUUGGUUCUGGUGGAACAUCCACACCAACAACACCCUCUUGUGCUACGUUCGAAGGGUUGGCCAUUGCUUCGUGAGCUAACUUGCGUGCGUUCAAACCUUAGCUCUGAUACCACUUAUCACGGGAUGAGUUAUUUGCGCAGCUAACCUGUGCGGCACUUAGACAACUUUGCCGAAUGUUGCUAAGUAAGCCUAGAACUUCUCGAACUAGAGAAUAGAGCAAUUGAGCCAAAGAAGAAACUUGUAUUGCACAAAGAGAGAUUACAGUGCUUGUUGUUGAGUUUGUUGGAUACAAAUGCCUAAUGCCAUCCCAUAUUUAUAGGGGAGGCUUGCCAAGCUCUAGAGAUUCUAGAGAAUUCUACCAUUUCCUAGCUAUUUACAUGUGCUGAAAUUCUAUGGAGAAUUCUAGAGUAUUUACAAGCUAAAUGUGCUAGAGUUGCCUAGAAUGUUCCGGAAUUGGGCCAAGCUAGCACUCUUGGCCUUGUGUUGGCUCUCUAGCCCGAAAUUGUGGUCAAUUGGGCUAGCGAAUUGGGCGGUCCGCGACAUUCUCCCCCACCUAAGCUCACGGCGUCCUCGUCGCGCUCUCGUGCUUGAACCUUUGGAUGUGCUCAGCGAAUUGCCACAAAUCUUCUUCACGUUCCCAAGUGGCUUCGCUUUCGGGGAGGUUUUUCCACUUCACCAAGUACUCACUAUGUGCUGGCACGCCCCUCCUCGAAACCACGCGGUCCGCAAUGAUGUAGUCCACAUCUUUGUCGAACGCGGUGACAACGACAAUUGGCGCGCACCUCGAUUCUUCGCGACUUGGGUCUCCCAUGUCUUCGUGAUAUGGCUUGAGAAGACUCACAUGGAAGACCGGAUGGAUCUUGAGUCUUGGCGGAAGUUGGAGUUGAUACGAGACAUUGCCCACACGUCAAACAACUCGGAAGGGUCCCUCGUAGCGCCUCAUUAACCCCUUGUAAACUUUCCGCAAAGUCUUGAAUUGUUGGGGUAGGAGCUUGAUCAUGACUUGAUCGCCUUCCUAGUACUCAACAUGCCGUCUCCGUGUAUCUGCCCAUUUCUUUAUUUUCCUCGCGGCUUUGUCGAGGUAGGCUCGCGUGAUGUCCGCUUCCUCAUGCCAUUCGCGGGCGAGCUUGUGUGCCGCGGGGCUUUUCCCUCCGUAAGUCGAGGCUAUGGCAUUGGGGGUCAUGGGCUGGAAUCCCAUGAUGAUCUCGAAUGGACUCUUGCCCGUAGCCUCGCUUCGCUGCAAGUUAUAAGAAAAUUGGGCAAUGUCAAGUAGCUUUGCCCAAUCCCGCUGGUGAGCGCUCACAUAAUGCCUCAAGUACAUCUCGAGAAGGCCAUUGAUGCGCUCGGUCUGCCCAUCCGUUUGUGGGUGGAAGCUUGUCGAGAACUUGAGAUCGGUCCCCAACAUUUUGAAGAGCUCCGUCCAAAAACGCCCAGUGAACCGAGGGUCUCGGUCGCUCACAAUGCUCUUCGGAACUCCCCAAAGCUUCACAAUGUGCUUGACGAAUAGGCGGGCUGCCUCGUCCGCUUUGCAAUCGACUGGUGCGGCAAUGAAUGUGGCAUACUUGCUGUAUCGGUCGACAACGACCAUGAUGCUUCCGCAUCCUUCGGACUUGGGCAGCGAUGUUAUGAAGUCCAUGGAGACACUUUCCCAUAGCCUUGUUGCUAGUGGUAGCGGCUCUAAUAAUCCCGCUGGGAGUUGAUGAUCAACCUUGUCUUGUUGGCACACAAGACAAGUUCGCACAUAUGCCUCGAUGUCGUCCCUCAUGUGCGGCCAAAAAUACGAGGCUUGGACUAGUGCGGUGGUGCGCUCGAUUCCUGGGUGACCAGCCCACUUGGAGUCAUGGCACUCCUUGAUUACCUCCUUCCGCAAGUUUCCCCACCUUGGCACGAACAGCCGAUAUCCCUUGGUGAGGAGGAUGCCUUCCUCUUGCCAAAAUCGCCUUGUCUUCCCCUCGAGUACCUUCUCCAGCAAAUCCUUUGCUUGCGGAUCUUGUUGGAGACCUUCCUUGAUGCAUGAGACAAGGUCAGACUUCGGUUGGCUUAUGCUAAGUGUUGCCAAUUCGGCCUUGCGGCUUAGAGCGUCCGCAACGACAUUGGCCUUGCCUGGUUUGUACUCGAGCCGAUAGUCGAAUUCCGCUAGAAAAUCUUGCCACCGUGCUUGCUUCGGACUCAACUUCUUUUGCGUCGGAAAGUAGCUUGUCGCCACGUUGUCCGUCAUAAUCGUGAAGUGUGAGCCAAGCAAGUAAUGUCGCCACACUCUUAGGCAAUGGAUGAUGGUUGUCAUCUCCUUUUCUUGUACCGUGUAGCGGCGUUCCGUAUCGUUUAGCUUUCGACUCUCGAACGCUAUGGGGUGGCCUUCUUGCAUGAGGACUCCUCUUAUGGCGAAAUCUGAGGCAUCUGUUUGGACUUCGAAGGGCUUUGUGUGGUUCGGAAGAGCGAGGACAGGUUCCUCCGAAAUUGCUCUUUUCAACUCCUCGAAUGCGCGUUGGCACUCUUCGGACCAGUGCCACGUUCUGUUUUUCUUGAGCAUAUCCGUCAAGGGUGCCGCAUUGGCCGAAUAGCCCUUGAUGAAGUGGCGGUAAUAGUUCACCAGCCCAAGGAAUGAGCGAAGCUCGGGCACUUUUGAGGGAGGCUCCCAAUCGAGGAUGGCCUUUACUUUGGCAUUCUCCAUCAUAAUCUUCCCGCCCGCAAUCUUGUGGCCAAGGAACUCCACUUCUUGUUGUGCAAACGAGCACUUCUCCAACUUGAGGAAGAGCUCGUUGUCUCGGAGCACUUGGAGGACUUGUCGUAAAUGUUGGGCAUGAUCCUCGAGCGUGGUGCUAUACACCACUAUGUCAUCCAAGUACACGACCACGAAGCGGUCGAGGAAUGGUUGAAGCACCUUGUUCAUGAGUGUGAAAAAUGUGGCGGGUGCAUUAGUAAGGCCAAAAGGCAUCACAAUAAAUUCGAAAGACCCGUACCUUGUUGUGCACGCUGUCUUCGUUUCGUCUCCCUUGGCGAUGCGCACUUGGUAGUACUCGGAGCGCAAGUCGAGUUUGGUGAAGUACCAUGCUUUGCCAAGCUGGUCGAACAAGUCCGCGAUCAAGGGAAUCGGAUACUUGUUCUUGAUGGUAAUCUUGUUAAGCGCUCUAUAGUCGAUGAACAUCUGCAGCGUUCCAUCCUUUUUCUUUUGGAAGAGGACUGGUGCACCGAAUGGGGCCUUUGAGGGACGGAUGUAGCCUGCGUCCAGCAAGUCUUUGAGUUGUCUCCGCAACUCUUCUAAUUCGGGUGGCGCCAUGCGGUAGGGCGCCAAGGCUGGUGGCUUCGCGCCUUGUUCCAGUUCGAUUGCAUGGUCUACCUCUCGUCGAGGUGGGAGCUUCUUCGGAAGUUUUGGAGGCAUCACGUCCUUGUACUCAACGAGGACGGUUUGAAUUCGCGGAGGGACUUGGCUUGGCGACGUUCCGCUAUUUCCUUCCUCAUUUAGUUCCCGAAUGGAGACCAAGAAGCUUGGGUCCUUCUUGAAAGCCCUCUUGAAUUGCAUGGCGGAGAGUGUCUUCUCCUCGGACUUGCCUCGCUUCGUGGGAACCAUGCAUGCUUUGCUCCCGUCGAGGAUGCUUAGGGAGUUUGUAGCUGGCAGCGGGAAGGCAUGGACUGGUUGAAGAAUUCCAUGCCGAGGACCAUCUUGAAGUCAUCCAUGGGCACGAUGGAGAAGUCAAGCUUUCCGCUCCACGUACCGAGUGUUAAGUGCACGCCUUGUACGAUUCCCGCAAUUGGCUUGGCGGGUGAGUUUACUGCCUUCAUUGUGCCUCCUUCCUUGGUGGCCUUGAGGCCUAAGCGCUUGGCCUCGUCUACGGACACGAAGUUGUGUGUUGCUCCCGUGUCUAGCAGCGCGCGAACGGACUGACCGUUUACCUUUGCGCUUACAUACAUGAGCCCUUUCUUGACAAGUGCGGGCUGUUGGCGAUUGAGUGCGCCGAGGCAUUGGAGAGAACCCAUGCUGAGUUGGGGUUCCUCCGUGGACAUUGCGGGGUUGCUCUUGAGUUGGGCAGCAAGAGCGUUAAGCGACCUCUUCUCCGGACAGUCAUGUACCCAAUGAGGAUCGUUGCAUAUGAAGCAUGGGCUUCGCGGCUUUGGCGCCUCCUUCUUACCCUCCGAUUUUCCUUGCCCGCUCUUGUUGCUAGGCGGCUUUUUCUGCCCCCAAUCUUUGCGGUUGUUGCCCAUGUCCUUACGACUCUCUCCCCCACCUGUGCCUUGGUUGGCCUUUUUGUCUUUGGAUUGGGUAGAGUAUUUGGUGAGCGAUUCCGCAACGGUAAUGGCGUCGUCAAGUGUUUGAACACCACGCCUAUCAAGCUCGGUCUUGGCCCAAUCCUUGAGGCCUUCUUGGAAGUAGAAGAGCGAAUCCUUGUCGGACAUGUAGCUUAUCUCCAACAUGAGGGUAGUGAACUCGUUGAUGUAGUCUCGCAUGCUACCCGAUUGCUUGAGGCGACGUAAGCGCGCUCGCGCUUCCUUCUCCGCAUUGCUUUGGGCGAACUGCUUUCGGAGUUCUUGCUUGAAGUCAGCCCAAGUGUCGAUGGCGCAAAUGCCCUUGCCCAUCUCGCCAUGCUUGCGACGCCACCAUAGUUGUGCAGCGCCUCUUAGAUAGGUGGGUGCAGGGCCCACUUUCGAUGCCUCAUCUCGUACACCCAUGGCAUCGAAGUAUUG